RNAcentral lists this ribosomal RNA (441 nucleotides) under uncultured bacterium. RNAcentral describes it as "partial 16S ribosomal RNA". It matches the Rfam family "Bacterial small subunit ribosomal RNA", at positions 338 to 794 of the family's 1533-position model. The record is from RNAcentral.
CCUACGGGAGGCAGCAGUGGGGAAUUUUGCGCAAUGGGCGAAAGCCUGACGCAGCGACGCCGCGUGGGCGAGGAAGGCCUUCGGGUUGUAAAGCCCUUUUGGCAGGGAAGAGCAAGGACUGUACCUGCAGAACAAGUCACGGCUAACUACGUGCCAGCAGCCGCGGUAAAACGUAGGUGGCGAGCGUUAUCCGGAAUCACUGGGCGUAAAGGGCGUCUAGGCGGUCGGGUAAGAGAGACGUGAAAGCCCCGGGCUAAACUCGGGUGAGUGCGUGCGAUACUGCCCCGCUUGAGUGCCGGAGGGGAGAGUGGAACGGGGCAAGUAGGGGUAAAAUGCGUAGAUAUGCAUCGGAACACCGGUGGCGAGGGCGGCUCUCUGGACGGUCACUGACGCUGAGGGACGAAAGCCAGGGGAGCAAACGGGAUUAGAUCCCCCUGUAGU